Molecule: ribosomal RNA, 701 nt
Filed under: uncultured Bacilli bacterium
Lineage: Bacteria; Bacillati; Bacillota; Bacilli
Description: bacterial SSU rRNA
Rfam family: Bacterial small subunit ribosomal RNA
Source: RNAcentral
AAAUUUCUUACACCGAAUGCUUGCAUUCACCGUAAGAAGUUGAGUGGCGGACGGGUGAGUAACACGUGGGUAACCUGCCUAAAAGAAGGGGAUAACACUUGGAAACAGGUGCUAAUACCGUAUAUCUCUAAGGAUCGCAUGAUUCUUAGAUGAAAGAUGGUUCUGCUAUCGCUUUUAGAUGGACCCGCGGCGUAUUAACUAGUUGGUGGGGUAACGGCCUACCAAGGUGAUGAUACGUAGCCGAACUGAGAGGUUGAUCGGCCACAUUGGGACUGAGACACGGCCCAAACUCCUACGGGAGGCAGCAGUAGGGAAUCUUCCACAAUGGACGCAAGUCUGAUGGAGCAACGCCGCGUGAGUGAAGAAGGUCUUCGGAUCGUAAAACUCUGUUGUUAGAGAAGAACACGAGUGAGAGUAACUGUUCAUUCGAUGACGGUAUCUAACCAGCAAGUCACGGCUAACUACGUGCCAGCAGCCGCGGUAAUACGUAGGUGGCAAGCGUUGUCCGGAUUUAUUGGGCGUAAAGGGAACGCAGGCGGUCUUUUAAGUCUGAUGUGAAAGCCUUCGGCUUAACCGGAGUAGUGCAUUGGAAACUGGGAGACUUGAGUGCAGAAGAGGAGAGUGGAACUCCAUGUGUAGCGGUGAAAUGCGUAGAUAUAUGGAAGAACACCAGUGGCGAAAGCGGCUCUCUGGUCUGUAAC